RNAcentral lists this ribosomal RNA (253 nucleotides) under uncultured bacterium. RNAcentral's name for it is "partial 16S ribosomal RNA". It matches the Rfam family "Bacterial small subunit ribosomal RNA", at positions 524 to 776 of the family's 1533-position model. The record is from RNAcentral.
UACAGAGGGUGCGAGCGUUGUUCGGAAUUAUUGGGCGUAAAGGGCGCGUAGGCGGUGCGGUAAGUCACCUGUGAAAUCUCCUGGCUCAACUGGGAGCUUGCAGGCGAAACUGCCGUGCUGGAGUGUGGGAGAGGUGCGUGGAAUUCCUGGUGUAGCGGUGAAAUGCGUAGAUAUCAGGAGGAACACCUGUGGCGAAAGCGGCGCACUGGGCCACAACUGACGCUGAGGCGCGAAAGCUAGGGGAGCAAACAGG